ACGAACCGUGCGAACGUUGUUCGGAUUCACUGGGCUUAAAGGGCGCGUAGGCGGCUCCGCUAGUCAGGGGUGAAAUCGUCCGGCCCAACCGGACAAGUGCCCCUGAUACUGCGGGGCUCGAGGGGGGUAGGGGCAUGCGGAACUUCCGGUGGAGCGGUGAAAUGCGUAGAUAUCGCUUGGAACGCCAACGGUGAAAACAGGUUGCUGGGGGUGUGCUGACGCUGAGACACGAAAGCCAGGGGAGCGAACGGGA
This 253-nucleotide ribosomal RNA is filed under the name uncultured prokaryote. RNAcentral's name for it is "partial 16S ribosomal RNA". It matches the Rfam family "Bacterial small subunit ribosomal RNA", at positions 525 to 777 of the family's 1533-position model. The record is from RNAcentral.